UGAGGAAUAUUGGUCAAUGGACGAGAGUCUGAACCAGCCAAGUAGCGUGAAGGAUGACUGCCCUAUGGGUUGUAAACUUCUUUUAUAUGGGAAUAAAGUGAGCCACGUGUGGCUUUUUGUAUGUACCAUACGAAUAAGGAUCGGCUAACUCCGUGCCAGCAGCCGCGGUAAUACGGAGGAUCCGAGCGUUAUCCGGAUUUAUUGGGUUUAAAGGGAGCGUAGGCGGAUUAUUAAGUCAGUUGUGAAAGUUUGCGGCUCAACCGUAAAAUUGCAGUUGUUACUGGUAGUCUUGAGUGCAGCAGAGGUAGGCGGAAUUCGUGGUGUAGCGGUGAAAUGCUUAGAUAUCACGAAGAACUCCGAUUGCGAAGGCAGCUUACUGGACUGUAACUGACGCUGAUGCUCGAAAGUGUGGGUAUCAAACAGG
Molecule: ribosomal RNA, 424 nt
Filed under: uncultured bacterium
Lineage: Bacteria
Description: bacterial SSU rRNA
Rfam family: Bacterial small subunit ribosomal RNA
Source: RNAcentral